RNAcentral lists this ribosomal RNA (1134 nucleotides) under Triticum aestivum (bread wheat). RNAcentral describes it as "partial small subunit ribosomal RNA". Lineage: Eukaryota; Viridiplantae; Streptophyta; Magnoliopsida; Poales; Poaceae. The record is from RNAcentral.
AUGGGGCCUACAAAGCGCCACACCACGCGUCUCCAUCCCCAAAUCAAAGCCACUGAGGAUGGUGUUGGAGUGGUCAACCACCGUCGUAGCAGUAAGCGCCGCAGCAUCCGGAUCCAGGCGAGUGAGGGGAGCGACCAAGUGACUCACGCGAGCGAGAAGGGAGACGGCAUGUCCCGCCGCCACCGCGGUAUCUCGUCAGAGCCGCCUGCCUCCGUGAUUGAAGAUGAAAAUUUCCUUCGGGAGAUCCUGCUCCGCCUCCCCCCGGACCUACACUCACUCUCCUGCGCAUCCGCCGUCUGCAUGCGGUGGCAAGACAUUGUCGUCAAUCACAAGUUUGUCCGGGGGUUCUAUGCACUCCACCGCAAGCUGCCCCUCCUCGGCUUCUUCCCCCGUGACGAACGUAUCAUGUUCGCCCCCGUCCAGGUCCCCACUCCCAACCGCAUCCUCCCUGGGAGUUUCUCCUUAAACGACACUACAAGAACUCCUAGGUUAGCAAGGCGCUGGAUUCCCUCCACGGCAGCGUCCUCCUCACCCACUGGGUCAUCGUUAACGGUUGGAAGCUAUAAGCAUCCAUGCGCCUGCGAUUAUUCCUCCGAGACUGACACAUGGGGCAAUAUCAUCUCAACAGAGGCUCCAGAUGAUACUCCUUUUGGUGUUUGUCCUAGGACCCUUAUAGGUAAUGCCCUUUACUGGUCGGCUAAGCAUAAGGGAGACUCCAUUCCUCAGUUUGAUUUGGGCAUGCAGAACCUAGCCAUUAUCAAGGGGCCUCCUGGCAUGAACAUGGAUGAUUUCGACAACUUUCAUAUCAUUCAUGCAAAGGAUGGCAUUGUUGGUCUUGUUGCAUUGUCUCACCUUGAGCAUCAAAUGUGGGAGAGGAAGGUUGAUUCUCAAGGUGGACCAACGGCAGCACCAGCGGGAGGCAGGAGACGAGGCGGACCAACUGCGGCACCGGAGACAAGGCGGACCAACGGCGGCACCGGUGGGAGGCAGGAUAACCCUAGACUUUUCUUGGGGAGGAGGCAUGUGGACUUUAAUCUAUUGAGUCAAAGGUGGAGAUUGUUUAAUGCCUCGACUACUCCAUCGGCCUCACCUUAUAAAGGGACCAGAUCUAGGGUUAUAGAAUUGCCUAACUGA